Molecule: small RNA, 153 nt
Filed under: human gut metagenome
Description: Clostridiales-1 RNA
Rfam family: Clostridiales-1 RNA
Source: RNAcentral
AGGUCAUAAGCUACAGACCACGAUACGCUGGCGUAUCUGUGGGCGGAUAGCUUCAUGACCUGCCCCACUAUGAGCAUAAAAGAGAAGCGUUAGCUUCGCGAUAUGCGAAUGGGGGGAGAAGCGUGGGAGUGCGCAGCACGGAGCGCUUCGUUG